Molecule: ribosomal RNA, 248 nt
Filed under: uncultured Lachnospiraceae bacterium
Lineage: Bacteria; Bacillati; Bacillota; Clostridia; Lachnospirales; Lachnospiraceae
Description: partial 16S ribosomal RNA
Rfam family: Bacterial small subunit ribosomal RNA
Source: RNAcentral
UACGUAGGGGGCAAGCGUUAUCCGGAAUUACUGGGUGUAAAGGGAGCGUAGACGGUAAAGCAAGUCUGGAGUGAAAGGCUGGGGCCCAACCCCGGGACUGCUCUGGAAACUGUUAAACUGGAGUGCAGGAGAGGCAAGUGGAAUUUCUAGUGUAGCGGUUAAAUGCGUAGAUAUUAGAAGGAACACCGGUGGCGAAGGCGGCCUGCUGGACUGCAACUGACGUUGAGGCCCGAAAGCGUGGGGAGCAA